GUAAAGCAGAUAUUUUGAUUCCCUUCAGUUUAGAAAUGGGGAAACGGAGGCUGCUGGAGCCCUGAAGACCAGAGCUUCAAGGAAGAAUCUGUGGGGACACGCUGAGCCCUCGCUUCUUAAAGUGCGCGCCUGUGGACGGGAUGAAAGAUUUCGUGGAGACGCACAUGGGUAAAUGC
Suricata suricatta (meerkat) is the source of this 176-nucleotide long non-coding RNA. RefSeq lists it as uncharacterized. NCBI's taxonomy places the organism in Eukaryota, Metazoa, Chordata, Mammalia, Carnivora, Herpestidae. The record is from RefSeq and is a predicted model, not a curated record. The transcript has 3 exons.